Molecule: ribosomal RNA, 585 nt
Filed under: Bacillus cereus
Lineage: Bacteria; Bacillati; Bacillota; Bacilli; Caryophanales; Bacillaceae
Also listed under: 1 other name
Description: bacterial SSU rRNA
Rfam family: Bacterial small subunit ribosomal RNA
Source: RNAcentral
CAUUUUGAACUGCAUGGUUCGAAAUUGAAAGGCGGCUUCGGCUGUCACUUAUGGAUGGACCCGCGUCGCAUUAGCUAGUUGGUGAGGUAACGGCUCACCAAGGCAACGAUGCGUAGCCGACCUGAGAGGGUGAUCGGCCACACUGGGACUGAGACACGGCCCAGACUCCUACGGGAGGCAGCAGUAGGGAAUCUUCCGCAAUGGACGAAAGUCUGACGGAGCAACGCCGCGUGAGUGAUGAAGGCUUUCGGGUCGUAAAACUCUGUUGUUAGGGAAGAACAAGUGCUAGUUGAAUAAGCUGGCACCUUGACGGUACCUAACCAGAAAGCCACGGCUAACUACGUGCCAGCAGCCGCGGUAAUACGUAGGUGGCAAGCGUUAUCCGGAAUUAUUGGGCGUAAAGCGCGCGCAGGUGGUUUCUUAAGUCUGAUGUGAAAGCCCACGGCUCAACCGUGGAGGGUCAUUGGAAACUGGGAGACUUGAGUGCAGAAGAGGAAAGUGGAAUUCCAUGUGUAGCGGUGAAAUGCGUAGAGAUAUGGAGGAACACCAGUGGCGAAAGCGACUUUCUGGUCUGUAACUGACACU